UGGGGGAUAUUGCACAAUGGGCGAAAGCCUGAUGCAGCGACGCCGCGUGGGGGAUGAAGGCCUUCGGGUUGUAAACUUCUUUUGCCCUGAACAAGGCGCACCAUGGGGUGUGUUGAGUGUAGGGGUUGAUUAGCGCCGGCUAACUACGUGCCAGCAGCCGCGGUAAUACGUAGGGCGCGAGCGUUGUCCGGAAUUAUUGGGGGUAAAGGGCGUGUAGGUGGCUGGUUGCGUCUGUCGUGAAAGCUCAUGGCUUAACUGUGGGUUUGCGGUGGGUACGGGCUGGCGUGGGUGCAGUAGGGGAGGCUGGAAUUCCUGGUGUAGCGGUGGAAAGCGCAGAUGUCAGGAGGAAGACCGGUGGCGAAGGCGGGUCUCUGGGCUGUUACUGACACUGAGGAGCGAAAGCAUGGGGAGCGAACAGG
Molecule: ribosomal RNA, 419 nt
Filed under: bacterium
Lineage: Bacteria
Description: partial 16S ribosomal RNA
Rfam family: Bacterial small subunit ribosomal RNA
Source: RNAcentral